GAUGAACGCUGGCGGCGUGCUUAACACAUGCAAGUCGAACGGAAAGGCCCUGCUUUUGUGGGGUGCUCGAGUGGCGAACGGGUGAGUAACACGUGAGUAACCUGCCCUUGAUUUUGGGAUAACUUCAGGAAACUGGGGCUAAUACCGGAUAGGAGCUCCUGCUGCAGGGUGGGGGUUGGAAAGUUUCGGCGGUUGGGGAUGGACUCGCGGCUUAUCAGCUGUUGGUGGGGUAGUGGCUUACCAAGGCUUUGACGGGUAGCCGGCCUGAGAGGGUGACCGGCCACAUUGGGACUGAGCUACGGCCCAGACUCCUACGGGAGGCAGCAGUGGGGAAUAUUGCACAAUGGGCGGAAGCCUGAUGCAGCAACGCCGCGUGCGGGAUGACGGCCUUCGGGUUGUAAACCGCUUUCGCCUGUGACGAAGCGUGAGUGACGGUAAUGGGUAAAGAAGCACCGGCUAACUACGUG
Molecule: ribosomal RNA, 467 nt
Filed under: uncultured bacterium
Lineage: Bacteria
Description: partial 16S ribosomal RNA
Rfam family: Bacterial small subunit ribosomal RNA
Source: RNAcentral